CAGAACAGCAUAAAAUAAGCAGAAUUACAGAUUUGAUUAUCGAACUCUGUUGGAGAAGUCCUGUAUCUUACUGGGCAAAUUGCCCUGGUACCUUCCACAAUGAAAUUUGUUCGUGGUGGAAUACAAACAAAAGCUACUCUGUCCUUAAGCCAUACCCUGAAAAUCCUGGAAGCAACACAUGGAGGCACCGGACUUCAGCACACUUUCAUGGCUCACUGUUAUGAAAUGUUAUGUUAAUGAACAGCCAGCUCACUUCCACUGCUCUGGAUACCUGGCAGAACUUAAAGACCCAUUAAAAGAGGUGAAAGAAGAUGAAAUGCUUCAGUGUAAUCUGUGGAGGGUACCUUGGUCAGAAACCUGGUUUGCUCCAUAUCACUAAAAAAGGUAAGACUGUAAUAGAUACAUUUUAUUUCAGAUAUUUCAAGCUAUGCAUAGAAAAUAUAAACAUUUAAAAAAUAGUGGUC
RNAcentral lists this long non-coding RNA (464 nucleotides) under Rhinopithecus bieti (black snub-nosed monkey). RNAcentral's name for it is "lncRNA (ENSRBIG00000046346.1)". The record is from RNAcentral. Lineage: Eukaryota; Metazoa; Chordata; Mammalia; Primates; Cercopithecidae.